RNAcentral lists this ribosomal RNA (253 nucleotides) under uncultured bacterium. Its description in RNAcentral is "partial 16S ribosomal RNA". It matches the Rfam family "Bacterial small subunit ribosomal RNA", at positions 524 to 776 of the family's 1533-position model. The record is from RNAcentral.
UACGUAGGGUGCAAGCGUUAAUCGGAAUUACUGGGCGUAAAGCGUGCGCAGGCGGUUUUGCAAGACAGAUGUGAAAUCCCCGGGCUCAACCUGGGAACUGCAUUUGUGACUGCAAGGCUAGAAUCUGGCAGAGGGGGGUAGAAUUCCACGUGUAGCAGUGAAAUGCGUGGAUAUGUGGAGGAAUACCGAUGGCGAAGGCAGCCCCCUGGGCUAAGAUUGACGCUCAUGCACGAAAGCGUGGGGAGCAAACAGG